This 3084-nucleotide ribosomal RNA is filed under the name Euconops bellus. RNAcentral's name for it is "eukaryotic LSU rRNA". It matches the Rfam family "Eukaryotic large subunit ribosomal RNA", at positions 689 to 3329 of the family's 3401-position model. The record is from RNAcentral. Lineage: Eukaryota; Metazoa; Arthropoda; Insecta; Diptera; Conopidae.
AGUCAUUGGGAUUUAUAUUAAUUAAACCCAAAGGCAUAAUUAACUUAAAUGUAAUAUAAAAAAUAUGGGAUAAAUUUUUAAUCUAUUUAUAGAUUAUUAAUUCGAUCCCGGGGCGUUCUAUAUAGUUAUGUAUAAUAAUAUUUAUAUUAUUUAUACCUCUAACUGGAGCGUACCUUGAGCAUUUAUGCUGUGACCCGAAAGAUGGUGAUCUAUACUUGAUCAGGUUGAAGUCAGGGGAAACCCUGAUGGAAGACCGAAACAGUUCUGACGUGCAAAUCGAUUGUCAGAAUUGAGUAUAGCUGCGUAAGACUCAUCGAACCAUCUAGUAGCUGGUUCCCUCCGAAGUUUCUCUCAGGAUAGCUGGUGCAUUUUAAUAUUAUAUAAAAUAAUCCUAUCUGGUAAAGCGAAUGAUUAGAGGCCUUAGGGUCGAAACGACCUUAACCUAUUCUCAAACUUUAAAUGGGUAAGAACCUCACCUUUCUUGAUAUGAAGGUGAAGGUUAUGAUAUAAUGUGCCCAGUGGGCCACUUUUGGUAAGCAGAACUGGCGCUGUGGGAUGAACCAAACGUUAUGUUACGGUGCCCAAAUUAACAACUCAUGCAGAUACCAUGAAAGGCGUUAGUUGCUAAAAACAGCAUGACGGUGGACAUGGAAGUCGUAAUCCGCUAAGGAGUGUGUAACAACUCACAUGCCGAAGCAACUAGCCCUUAAAAUGGAUGGCGCUUAAGUUGUAUACCUAUACAUUACCGCUAAAGUAAAUGAUUUAUAUUCAAUUUCGGUUGAAUUUUAAAUUUUGAAACUUUAGUGAGUAGGAGGGUACAAUGGUGUGCUUAGAAGUGUUUGGCGUAAGCCUGCAUGGAGCCGCCAUUGGUACAGAUCUUGGUGGUAGUAGCAAAUAAUCGAAUGAGACCUUGGAGGACUGAAGUGGAGAAGGGUUUCGUGUGAACAGUGGUUGAUCACGAGUUAGUCGGUCCUAAGUUUAAGGCGAAAGCCGAAAAUUUUCAAGUUAUAAUGAAAAUUUAUAUAUAAUAUUAUAUAUAUUUAGGAUUUAAACACUUGAUUAUUUUUGAACGAAAGGGAAUACGGUUCCAAUUCCGUAACCUGUUGAGUAUCCGUUUGUUAUUAAAAAUGGGCCUUGUGCUCAUCCUGGUAACAGAAACGACCAUAAAGAAGCCGUCGAGAGAUAUCGGAAGAGUUUUCUUUUCUGUUUUAUAGUCGUACUACCAUGGAAGUCUUUCGAAGAGAGAUAUGGUAGAUGGACUAGAAGAGCAUGACAUUUACUGUUGUGUCGAUAUUUUCUCCUCGGACCUUGAAAAUUUAUGGUGGGGUCACGCAAACUUCUCAACAGGCCGUACCGAUAUCCGCAGCUGGUCUCCAAGGUGAAGAGUCUCUAGUCGAUAGAAUAAUGUAGGUAAGGGAAGUCGGCAAAUUAGAUCCGUAACUUCGGGAUAAGGAUUGGCUCUGAAGAUUGAGAUAGUCGGGCUUGAUUGGGAAGCAAUAACAUGGUUUAUGUACUCGUUCUGGAUAAAUAAAGAUUUUCGGAUCUUGUUCCCCGGAUAGUAGUUACGUAACCAAUUGUGGAACUUUCUUGCUAAAAUUUUUAAGGAAUUAUCGCAAGAUAUAUUCUUUUUAAAUUAUAACGAUUAUCAAUUAACAAUCAAUUCAGAACUGGCACGGACUUGGGGAAUCCGACUGUCUAAUUAAAACAAAGCAUUGUGAUGGCCCCAGCGGGUGUUGACACAAUGUGAUUUCUGCCCAGUGCUCUGAAUGUCAACGUGAAGAAAUUCAAGUAAGCGCGGGUCAACGGCGGGAGUAACUAUGACUCUCUUAAGGUAGCCAAAUGCCUCGUCAUCUAAUUAGUGACGCGCAUGAAUGGAUUAACGAGAUUCCUACUGUCCCUAUCUACUAUCUAGCGAAACCACAGCCAAGGGAACGGGCUUGGAAUAAUUAGCGGGGAAAGAAGACCCUUUUGAGCUUGACUCUAGUCUGGCAGUGUAAGGAGACAUAAGAGGUGUAGCAUAAGUGGGAGAUUUUUGAAUUUAUAUUCAUUUAUCGCCAAUGAAAUACCACUACUCUUAUUGUUUCCUUACUUACUUGAUUAAAUGGAACGUGUAUCAUUUUCUAGCCAUUAUACGGAUAUAUUUAUAUAUCUUAUGGUAUUAGAUCUUGAUGCAAGCUUCUUGAUCAAAAUAUCAAGAGUUUGUUAUAUAAUUGUAAACAUAUUUUAAUAAAAUGAUUUCAUCUUUUAGAUGUUAUUAUUAUAAUUGAAAUUUGGUAUAACUCUAACACUCAGGUAUGAUCCAAUUCAAGGACAUUGCCAGGUGGGGAGUUUGACUGGGGCGGUACAUCUCUCAAAUAAUAACGGAGGUGUCCCAAGGCCAGCUCAGUGCGGACAGAAACCACACAUAGAGCAAAAGGGCAAAUGCUGACUUGAUCUCGGUGUUCAGUACACACAGAGACAGCUAAAGCUCGGCCUAUCGAUCCUUUUGGUUUAAAGAGUUUUUAACAAGAGGUGUCAGAAAAGUUACCAUAGGGAUAACUGGCUUGUGGCGGCCAAGCGUUCAUAGCGACGUCGCUUUUUGAUCCUUCGAUGUCGGCUCUUCCUAUCAUUGUGAAGCAAAAUUCACCAAGCGUUGGAUUGUUCACCCAUGCAAGGGAACGUGAGCUGGGUUUAGACCGUCGUGAGACAGGUUAGUUUUAUCCUCCUAAUGACAAUAUUGUUGUUGCGACAGCAUUCCUGCGUAGUACGAGAGGAACCGCAGGUACGGACCAAUGGCACAAUACUUGUUCGAGCGAACAGUGGUAUGACGCUACGUCCGUUGGAUUAUGCCUGAACGCCUCUAAGGUCGUAUCCGUGCUGGACUGCAAUGAUAAAAAUGGGGCAAUUGCAUUGUAUGGCUUCUAAACCAUUUAAAGUUUAUAUUAAUUUAUAAACGGCAAUGGAUGUGAUGCCAAUGUUAUUGGUAACAUAGCAAAUUCGGGAGGAUUAAAUAUCACCUGAAUGCCGCGCUAGUUACUUAUUAAAACAUUAUUUAAUACAAUGACAAUGCCUAGAAUCAAUUGUAAACGACUUUUGUAACGGGCA